This 430-nucleotide ribosomal RNA is filed under the name uncultured bacterium. Its description in RNAcentral is "bacterial SSU rRNA". It matches the Rfam family "Bacterial small subunit ribosomal RNA", at positions 355 to 776 of the family's 1533-position model. The record is from RNAcentral.
UCGAGGAUCUUUCGCAAUGGGCGCAAGCCUGACGAAGCGACACUGUGUGAGCGAUGAAGGCCUUAGGGUUGUAAAGCUCUUUCGCCUGGGAACAAGAGCGACAUGUGAACAACAUGUCAAUUUGAGUGUACCAGGUAAAGAAGCACCGGCUAACUCCGUGCCAGCAGCUGCGGUAAUACGGAGGGUGCAAGCAUUAAUCGGAAUUAUUGGGCGUAAAGGGCGCGUAGGCGGAUGUGAAAGUCAGAUGUGAAAUUCCGGAGCUCAACUCCGGCGCUGCAUUUGAAACUCCACGUCUAGAGGAUUGGCGGAGAAAACGGAAUUCCACGUGUAGCGGUGAAAUGCGUAGAUAUGUGGAAGAACACCAGUGGCGAAAGCGGUUUUCUAGCUUUUUUCCUGACGCUGAGGCGCGAGAGCAAGGGGAGCAAACAGG